UGCCAGCAGCCGCGGUAAUACGGAGGGUGCAAGCGUUGUUCGGAAUUACUGGGCGUAAAGCGCGCGUAGGCGGCUAUUUAAGUCAGAUGUGAAAGUCCACGGCUCAACCGUGGAAUUGCAGUCGAUACUAUUGGUCUUGAAUGCCUGAGAGGGUAUCGGAAUUCCCAGUGUAGGAGUGAAAUCCGUAGAUAUUGGGAGGAACAUCCGAGGCGAAGGCGGAUACCUGGUGGUGCAUUGACGCUGAGGCGCGAAAGCGUGGGGAGCAAACAGGAUUAGAUA
This 279-nucleotide ribosomal RNA is filed under the name uncultured bacterium. Its description in RNAcentral is "partial 16S ribosomal RNA". It matches the Rfam family "Bacterial small subunit ribosomal RNA", at positions 506 to 784 of the family's 1533-position model. The record is from RNAcentral.